CCAACGGCCCUCUUUAGGGCCACUCAAUGAUACUCAUUUCAUUUUU
This is a non-coding RNA of Strongyloides venezuelensis, 46 nucleotides long. The record is from Rfam. Lineage: Eukaryota; Metazoa; Nematoda; Chromadorea; Rhabditida; Strongyloididae.